This 997-nucleotide ribosomal RNA is filed under the name uncultured Bacteroides sp. Its description in RNAcentral is "bacterial SSU rRNA". It matches the Rfam family "Bacterial small subunit ribosomal RNA", at positions 137 to 1134 of the family's 1533-position model. Lineage: Bacteria; Pseudomonadati; Bacteroidota; Bacteroidia; Bacteroidales; Bacteroidaceae. The record is from RNAcentral.
UCUUGGCCAGCCUUCUGAAAGGAAGAUUAAUCCAGGAUGGCAUCAUGAGUUCACAUGUCCGCAUGAUUAAAGGUAUUUUCCGGUAGACGAUGGGGAUGCGUUCCAUUAGAUAGUAGGCGGGGUAACGGCCCACCUAGUCAACGAUGGAUAGGGGUUCUGAGAGGAAGGUCCCCCACAUUGGAACUGAGACACGGUCCAAACUCCUACGGGAGGCAGCAGUGAGGAAUAUUGGUCAAUGGGCGAUGGCCUGAACCAGCCAAGUAGCGUGAAGGAUGACUGCCCUAUGGGUUGUAAACUUCUUUUAUAAAGGAAUAAAGUCGGGUAUGCAUACCCGUUUGCAUGUACUUUAUGAAUAAGGAUCGGCUAACUCCGUGCCAGCAGCCGCGGUAAUACGGAGGAUCCGAGCGUUAUCCGGAUUUAUUGGGUUUAAAGGGAGCGUAGAUGGAUGUUUAAGUCAGUUGUGAAAGUUUGCGGCUCAACCGUAAAAUUGCAGUUGAUACUGGAUGUCUUGAGUGCAGUUGAGGCAGGCGGAAUUCGUGGUGUAGCGGUGAAAUGCUUAGAUAUCACGAAGAACUCCGAUUGCGAAGGCAGCCUGCUAAGCUGCAACUGACAUUGAGGCUCGAAAGUGUGGGUAUCAAACAGGAUUAGAUACCCUGGUAGUCCACACGGUAAACGAUGAAUACUCGCUGUUUGCGAUAUACGGCAAGCGGCCAAGCGAAAGCGUUAAGUAUUCCACCUGGGGAGUACGCCGGCAACGGUGAAACUCAAAGGAAUUGACGGGGGCCCGCACAAGCGGAGGAACAUGUGGUUUAAUUCGAUGAUACGCGAGGAACCUUACCCGGGCUUAAAUUGCACUCGAAUGAUCCGGAAACGGUUCAGCUAGCAAUAGCGAGUGUGAAGGUGCUGCAUGGUUGUCGUCAGCUCGUGCCGUGAGGUGUCGGCUUAAGUGCCAUAACGAGCGCAACCCUUGUUGUCAGUUACUAACAGGUGAUGCUGA